Molecule: non-coding RNA, 106 nt
Organism: Hypoxylon sp. NC1633
Lineage: Eukaryota; Fungi; Ascomycota; Sordariomycetes; Xylariales; Hypoxylaceae
Source: the annotation of a GenBank genome assembly
GACUGCUUGGCGCAAUGGUAGCGCGCGGUCCUCCUAUUUCUUUCCCUUGCGAAGCGAAAUGCGGAGUGAAAGACUGAGGUUGCGGGUUCGAGUCCCGUGGUGGUCG